RNAcentral lists this small RNA (3057 nucleotides) under Pan troglodytes (chimpanzee). Its description in RNAcentral is "retained intron". The record is from RNAcentral. Lineage: Eukaryota; Metazoa; Chordata; Mammalia; Primates; Hominidae.
GUCUGCGAGACCGACUUGGACGGAGCCGAGCUGAGGCUCGGCUUCCUGCUGGUGGUCAGGGUUUUGGCAACUCCCCGGUGUGAGAGGGGUAGGGAGUGCUCCCGGCGGCGACGGGGCCGAGUUCACCAGCGGCCGGGGCAGUAGUCGAAGGCCCGGCGCGGCAUGUCCUGGGUGCCGCGGUGCGGGCAGUGAACGCGCGGCGGGCGGGAUGGGCCGGCGCCGGGCGCCAGAGCUGUACCGGGCUCCGUUCCCGUUGUACGCGCUUCAGGUCGACCCCAGCACUGGGCUGCUCAUCGCUGCGGGCGGAGGAGGCGCCGCCAAGACAGGCAUAAAGAAUGGCGUGGUGAGAGCGCAGGGCCACUGGGGCUGGGUCUUGCUGCGGGCUGGCGGCGAUUCAGGGUGGCCGGGGGGUCGCGGGGCGGGCCACACUCCAGCUUCGGGCCCUGCCCACUUCUGUUGGGAAGACCCGCUUGCCUGACGCCCAGGCGCGAAUUUCAGUCGAGAACUCAGCGGGCGGAGGAGAGGCUUUUAAGGUAAAGUGAAAACUGCACACAGCUGCAGAGUCGCCAGGAACGCUUCAGCUCCGCCUCAGAGCAGCUCCAGGGGUCUUAUACUGGCCUUUUCCGGGAGGUCUUGCCUGCCCUCUAGCAGCGGCGAGAGUGGUGCAUUUGGGUUUAGGCUAAGUUCCUUCCCUCUCCUGAGCUUCACCCUGUUCUGUAAAAUAGAGGUAAUAAUCCCAGUCCUGCUCACUGUGUAGAUUUGUGAGGCCCAAAUGAGAGAAAAAAGACUGGAGAAACCCUUGUGAACUAGAACGUGCAGAAAGCAAAGGGGUAAGACAUCAGACUCUUCCCUAAACGUGCUCUCUGGGCACCCCUGAACUUGCUCAUCCGGGUUCCCCCUCCCACAGCACUUUCUGCAGCUAGAGCGGAUUAAUGGGCGCUUGAGUGCCUCCUUGCUGCACUCCCAUGACACAGAGACACGGGCCACCAUGAACUUGGCACUGGCUGGUGACAUCCUUGCUGCAGGGCAGGAUGCCCACUGUCAGCUCCUGCGCUUCCAGGCACAUCAACAGCAGGGCAACAAGGCAGAGAAGGCCGGUGAGGAGCUCCCUCUCUACCCCCUUGGGGAAAGGGUUGAACGAGUAAGGUCACUCUUGGUGUCUCUAAAGAAGUGGGUCUGGAAGUAGGGUUUUGGUAGCAAGCUAGAAGUUGUAUGGGCACCUGCCAUGGAGAGAGGGGCCAGUACUCCUUACUGUAGAAGCCUGGAACCUGGCCAAGUGUUUGUGUUACAGGUUCCAAGGAGCAGGGGCCUCGACAAAGGAAGGGAGCAGCCCCAGCAGAGAAGAAAUGUGGAGCGGAAACCCAGCACGAGGGGCUAGAACUCAGGGUAGAGAAUUUGCAGGCGGUGCAGACAGACUUUAGCUCCGAUCCACUGCAGAAAGUUGUGUGCUUCAACCACGAUACUACCCUGCUUGCCACUGGAGGGACAGAUGGCUACGUCCGUGUCUGGAAGGUGCCCAGCCUGGAGAAGGUUCUGGAGUUCAAAGCCCACGAAGGGGAGAUUGAAGACCUGGCUUUAGGGCCUGAUGGCAAGUUGGUAACCGUGGGCCGGGACCUUAAGGCCUCUGUGUGGCAGAAGGAUCAGCUGGUGACACAGCUGCACUGGCAAGAAAAUGGACCCACCUUUUCCAGCACACCUUACCGCUACCAGGCCUGCAGGUUUGGGCAGGUUCCAGACCAGCCUGCUGGCCUGCGACUCUUCACAGUGCAAAUUCCCCACAAGCGCCUGCGCCAGCCCCCUCCCUGCUACCUCACAGCCUGGGAUGGCUCCAACUUCUUGCCCCUUCGGACCAAGUCCUGUGGCCAUGAAGUCGUCUCCUGCCUCGAUGUCAGUGAAUCCGGCACCUUCCUAGGCCUGGGCACAGUCACUGGCUCUGUUGCCAUCUACAUAGCUUUCUCUCUCCAGGUAAUGGGUGGAGGUUGGCAUGGCCCUGUGGGUGGACUGUAGGCCUGUCUCUACCCUGAGUUUGCAGGAAGGAGUCUGGCCCAUUCUAUCGAGGGAAAUCCUGGGGGUGGGGAACAUGCUUUCCAGAAAGAGAGUUCCCAGCUAGGCCUUUCCUCACUGGUAUUCCUUCUGCCCACAGUGCCUCUACUACGUGAGGGAGGCCCAUGGCAUUGUGGUGACGGAUGUGGCCUUUCUACCUGAGAAGGGUCGUGGUCCAGAGCUCCUUGGGUCCCAUGAAACUGCCCUGUUCUCUGUGGCUGUGGACAGUCGUUGCCAGCUGCAUCUGUUGCCCUCACGGCGGAGUGUUCCUGUGUGGCUCCUGCUCCUGCUGUGUGUCGGGCUUAUUAUUGUGACCAUCCUGCUGCUCCAGAGUGCCUUUCCAGGUUUCCUUUAGCUUCCCUGCUUCCUGGGAAUCAGGAGCCUGGACACUGCCAUCUCUAGAGCAGAGUGGAGGCCUGGACUCCCUUUGCUCACUCCAUUCGGGUCCACAGCUGAGGUUGCCUCUGACAAGAUGAAUGGGCACUGCCUGCCCUUCUAGUGAAAAGGCUUGGUUAUGGCCCUGCGUGACUCCAGGUCCCAGGAACCUUGCCUUCAUCAUCUGUGGAUCCAUCCAGAACAGCGGUAUCUGAAGCCCAGGCCAUACUCCCUGCCUCCUUUCUUCUGCCUACCAGAGGCUCCAGAGUUGAGCUUGUCCUUUAUCUAGAAACAUGUGAAGAUGCCCAAGAGCCUGGAGGCACUGCUGUCCUUCCUGCAGAAACAGUUUCUCCUCCUCCCCUCAGCCUUGUGACCAGUUCCUCUUCACAUGAAGCCCCUGGCAUUUGCUGGGGAAGGGACUGGCCUGGUACUUGCUGUUAGGGCAGGAAGGGGCAAAAGGAAGACUUGGGUAGUAAUCUGGGGGUUCAGAUGGGUAGCACUAAGCCAGCUGGCCUAAAGAUGCAAUAAGUUCCUAGGUAGUCUACCCUUACCUUGAGGAAUGGGAAAAUGAACCUCAGCCCAUUAGGCAGGAAAAGUUGAUAUUUAAUAAACAAGGAAAGAGUGAACUGAGACCCCAAA